This 384-nucleotide ribosomal RNA is filed under the name uncultured bacterium. RNAcentral's name for it is "bacterial SSU rRNA". It matches the Rfam family "Bacterial small subunit ribosomal RNA", at positions 107 to 507 of the family's 1533-position model. The record is from RNAcentral.
UGAGUAACGCGUGGGUAACCUGCCUUUCAGAGGGGGACAACAGUUGGAAACGACUGCUAAUACCGCAUAAGACCACGGUACCGCAUGGUACAGUGAUCAAAGGAGAAAUCCGCUGAAAGAUGGGCCCGCGUCUGAUUAGAUAGUUGGUGGGGUAACGGCCUACCAAGUCGACGAUCAGUAGCCGGACUGAGAGGUUGAUCGGCCACAUUGGGACUGAGACACGGCCCAGACUCCUACGGGAGGCAGCAGUGGGGAAUAUUGCACAAUGGGGGAAACCCUGAUGCAGCGACGCCGCGUGAGUGAAGAAGUAUUUCGGUAUGUAAAGCUCUAUCAGCAAGGAAGAAAAUGACGGUACUUGACUAAGAAGCCCCGGCUAACUACGUG